This 947-nucleotide small RNA is filed under the name Pan troglodytes (chimpanzee). Its description in RNAcentral is "processed transcript". Lineage: Eukaryota; Metazoa; Chordata; Mammalia; Primates; Hominidae. The record is from RNAcentral.
CUUUCUCUCUCCUCCCGCCGCCCAAGAUGGUGAGUGAGCUGUAGUUCCGUGGCCCUAUAGCCAGGUUCCGGCUGUAUCCGCUGCCAUCCUCCUCCAGGCGCGGCCUCGGAGGGCCUCCUGCUCCUCCUGGCGCUAGGAGAGCCCCACUCGGUGUGGCACGGAGACACUGAGGUGGAUUAGAGCCCCUCUUGGUGUGGCACGGAGACAUUGAGAUGGACUAGAGCCCCGGGCGGCCGAGAGCGGAAUGCGUUGUUCCCGGUGUCGCAGGGCUGGGUGUCGCAGGCCUGGAGCGCCGCAGUGCGGGGCUCGGAGCCCUAGCGUCUCUCGGGCUUGCUGGGGGCCGCUCCAGAGGCCUUCCGAAAGGAAAGAAGGCCAAGGGAAAGAAGGUGGCUCCGGCCCCAGCUGUCGUGAAGAAGCAGGAGGCUAAGAAAGUGGUGAAUCCCCUGUUUGAGAAAAGGCCUAAGAAUUUUGGCAUUGGACAGGACAUCCAGCCCAAAAGAGACCUCACCCGCUUUGUGAAAUGGCCCCGCUAUAUCAGGUUGCAGCGGCAGAGAGCCAUCCUCUAUAAGCGGCUGAAAGUGCCUCCUGCGAUUAACCAGUUCACCCAGGCCCUGGACCGCCAAACAGCUACUCAGCUGCUUAAGCUGGCCCACAAGUACAGACCAGAGACAAAGCAAGAGAAGAAGCAGAGACUGUUGGCCCGGGCCGAGAAGAAAGCUGCUGGCAAAGGGGACGUCCCGACGAAGAGACCACCUGUCCUUCGAGCAGGAGUUAACACCGUCACCACCUUGGUGGAGAACAAGAAAGCUCAGCUGGUGGUGAUUGCACACGACGUGGAUCCCAUCGAGCUGGUUGUCUUCUUGCCUGCCCUGUGUCGUAAAAUGGGGGUCCCUUACUGCAUUAUCAAGGGGAAGGCAAGACUGGGACGUCUAGUCCACAGGAAGACC